RNAcentral lists this ribosomal RNA (203 nucleotides) under uncultured bacterium. Its description in RNAcentral is "partial 16S ribosomal RNA". It matches the Rfam family "Bacterial small subunit ribosomal RNA", at positions 524 to 725 of the family's 1533-position model. The record is from RNAcentral.
UACGUAGGAGGCAAGCGUUGUCCGGAAUUACUGGGCCGUAAAGCGCGUGUAGGUGGUGGGAGCAAGUCUGCUGUGAAAGCGCCUGGCUUAACCGGGCGAGGCGGCGGAACUGUUUCACUGGAGGACGGUAGGAGGGGGGUGGAAUUCCCGGUGUAGUGGUGAAAUGCGUAGAGAUCGGGAGGAACACCUGUGGCGAAGGCGGG